GUGUUGUCUGAAAGGAAAGAAGGUUAGCACUGCCCUUGACAAGGAUGCAAGAACCUUCGGCCCGCAACAUGCUUAUGGUCAAGGCACUGCCACCUACUUUGUGGCAUCUAACCAAUGUUUUUU
This is a small nuclear RNA of Suncus etruscus (white-toothed pygmy shrew), 123 nucleotides long. NCBI's taxonomy places the organism in Eukaryota, Metazoa, Chordata, Mammalia, Eulipotyphla, Soricidae. The record is from RefSeq and is a predicted model, not a curated record.